AAUUUUCUUGAAUACUCUCUUUCUAUGUAAACAUUAUGCAAUAUAUUAUAGAAUAAAGCCUAUCGUUUGUAAGUUCUUUGUCUUCUUUAUUUGUCUUCUUUAUUUCCCCUCUUAACAUCCUUCAAAUGGUAUUAGAUCCAUGUAAAUGGCAUCAGUUCCAGGAUCUCCUACUUAUGUAUUUAUGCUAAAUCUUAUAAAUAAUGUUUAGUUAUGUCUUAUGUUUGUGUUUCAUGGGCCGUGUCCCUAAUAUAUUCUAAUGUUUUUGAGUAUAAAAUGGCAAAGUGACCUAUGAUCUAAAUAUGUAUUCUGACUUAUGUUGAGUAUGUGAAUUUUCCUAUGCAUUGCACAUGUGUACCUUGAUAGGAUAAUUCUGUUUUGGGUUUCUAUACGUAUGUAUAUGAAUGUUUGAAUAUGUGUUACUUAAUGGGUUAUGUAAAAGGUUUGCUCACAUAUAUGUAUACACAGACAUGUAUGGUAGGCAGGUAGGUAACCAUAAACCUCAUGGGGUUGAUAGCCUCAUGACCCAAAAGGGUGCUAGACUCUUAUUUCAAUAAGUGAAUAACUAGAAUGCCUAAUCAUGGCAUAAAUAGGAUUUUCAAAUAUAUCCGCAAGUAACAUAACUAUUUUUUCACUAUAUGAUAUUAGCUAGGGGAUCUACCUAAAAAGUUAUAUCAUGUUUGGUUCUACAUUGGCCGGUAGUCCACCCUUUUUCGGUGUGGGAUUUUAUGGCACACUAUUCCAUUUUUAGCAUCACAUGGUCUAUGUUAGUUAAGGCUAUAGUUUCCCUUAAAUAAUAAGGAAAAUGGAAGUAAAUGAGUAGGACACUAACUAGAAUGACUUAAAGGAGGUUACUUAGGAUAGGUGGAAGGAACAAACCCAUCUAGACAUUGCAGAAAGAGCUCCCUAAGAAGUUCUAGGAAGGUUUUCUAAUGCUUGUACCUUUAAAGGUGUUCUUUAAGCAUGACAUUGUACUGUUUCUCUACUUGUUAUGAAGAUGUACAUCGUAUGAAUCUUUAUAAAUCAUAUUGAUCUUGUUGACUAUAUGAUGAAGGUCUUGCUUGAAAUAAACAAAGUGGUAUCUUCGUACGAUUUGGAUAUAUGACAUGAAUAUAAAGACUUAUGGUCUCAUUAUAGGUUUAGUAUGUAUGUGUGAGGUUAUGGGGCCUUACAUGUAUAUUGUACUAGUAGACUUAGAUUGGGGGCAUGAGUUAGGUCUAUAAGGUUCUAUGUGAUGUAAAAUAAGUUUUUGUGAAUAAUGAUUAGGAUUUCACUGUAAUGUCCUUAUAGUCUUGACUUAACAAUGUCUAUGUUAUACCAUAUUACAAUAAUGUUAUGUUUUCUCUUGUGUAGAUGAUAUGUAUGUUUCCAUGUGGCCUUAUGGUGAUUUGUUCCACCAAGUAUACGUAAGGGGUUACUUGGAAAGUUAAUGAACAAAAGAGAAGAUGCUUCCCUGUUAAGGGAAAAAGAGCUUAUUAUAAUGUGCCUUAAAAAUG
Molecule: long non-coding RNA, 1493 nt
Filed under: Solanum lycopersicum (tomato)
Lineage: Eukaryota; Viridiplantae; Streptophyta; Magnoliopsida; Solanales; Solanaceae
Description: long non-coding RNA (SLYC_LNC000205)
Source: RNAcentral